Long non-coding RNA from Hyla sarda, 2160 nucleotides. RefSeq lists it as uncharacterized. Lineage: Eukaryota; Metazoa; Chordata; Amphibia; Anura; Hylidae. The transcript has 3 exons. The record is from RefSeq and is a predicted model, not a curated record.
CGGGGAUAUAACGAUCGCUGCUAACGGCUUUAGAACAAGCGCAUAUCCCGGGAUGUACUCAGGAAAUAAGGACUGGGCAAUCUGACACCAACAGACGACAGCGGAUUAGAAGGGGCGGGCGCCACAGACACAGAAGACAAGCGCCCCACACGCAGCCUGAAAGCAAACAAAGCCGUGAACAAGGACAGUCGCAUUUAGUGACAUCACCUCACUAAAAAAGAAGUCAGAUUGGAUCCCCUUUGUAUCUACUUACACUGAUUACAGUAUGAAGAUUGGUAGGAUCGUAGCCUCACACUGGAAUAUUUUGAAAAACUCUUUUGAGACUGUACCUGAAUUCGCCAGUCCCCCUCUGUUAUCCUAUAGGAGAGCACCAAACAUUAAAGAUAAGUUGGUAAAAACUGAUGUCAGCAACUUUAAACAUGAUUUAGCAUCCGAGCUAAAACCCGGAUGUUUUCCAUGUAUGGAAUGUGAUAAUUGCACCAUGAUGGUAAAAGGAAAUGUUUUUAUUCACCCCACUACUGGACAGACGUUUAAAAUAAAAUAUCAUCUCACCUGUAGGAGUGAAUAUGUAAUUUAUGUACUUGUCUGUCCCUGUGCAAAAUUAUAUGUAGGGGAAACGACAACCCAAUGCAGGAUCAGGUUAAAUAACCACAAAUCCACCAUUAGGACAUGGAAGAUAGAUCUCCCUGUACCACGCCAUUUCUUAGAAUGUAAUCAUAGGGUCGACCAAUUAAAAUUUACUAUUAUCGAUCAUGUACCAGUCUUGAAGAGAGGGGGUGAUAGGGCAAAAAUAUUGAAACAGAAAGAGUUAAGAUGGAUAUUUAAACUGAAUACAUUGAGACCAAGUGGUUUGAAUAUUGACUUCUCACUAAAACCAUUUUUUUGAGCCCCCGAAGUAAAAUUGUGUAUGUUGGUGGCUAUACUCCACAUGUAUAGUGAUAUGUCUUUUGUGUAUUAUUUGUAUUAUUUAUAUGAUUUUAAUCUAUUUUAUGACACCUUCUUCUGUUCUCUGCCCUUAGAUAUCCUCUGGAAGUUCCUUCCAACUGCCCCUAUCCGACGUCAUAAGGAAUGUUGUUUUCAAGCUUUCAAGUCUACAUGAUCAAUGUCAUUUUUCCUGCUUCGGACCCUAUAUUGUUGUUUUUCAUUGUUAAUAAAGAGCCUUUUCUGCUUUAACUAUAUAGUUACCAUUUAAUUUUUAGAGAUGGCGUGGAAUGAGUCAGGGGGUACACAUAAUCUCAGCAAUUGGGGUUGUGAGGAUGUGAAUCACGAGAGGGUGACACCUCCGUGAACACAUCCAACACACCCCUAUGUUAGGGAUGAUGAUGUGGGACAUGGAGGAUUAUGUAUCCCCCAUGUACACAUGAACUUCUCCAUUUAAUUGGGUGACAUAUAUCUAUGGUUAACACUUUUGAUAGAGGUCCCCUUAUAUAUAUUGAGUCUAUGGUUCCCUCCUGAACAUUACUAACCUGUUUAUAUUUCCCCAGUUGGGUUGAGCAGAAGUCUCUUUAUUAUUAAUUUUUUGAGUAUCCUCCUUUUUGGGAUAUGUAAUUACUUUAAACACUGGGUCCUGUAGUCAGGUUUAUAUUUUCAAUUUAUUUCAAUUUAUAUCCAUUUGACAUAUCAUGUGACCGCUGGAGUAAGCGGUCAUGUGGUUGCGAUCAUGUGACUUACCUGCUAUGCGGUCAUGUGAUUGUGAUCAUGUGACUUGUCUGCUGUUUAUGCGGGCGCAUAGCGGCGGCCCGUCGCGAACGCGAGUGGCCAUCCGCUUCUGCGCAGAGUGUUUGUGUACAAACACAGGCCGCAUGCUUCCGGUAAUGACGUUCCGGAUAUGGUGGUAAGUGAAGGUGACCGGACAGUGGGAUAUCGGAGGUCAGAACUCUUAUUAUACACAUUUAUAUGGGUGGAUUUUCGCUACAUUCAUUAGGUACAUGAUUGUAUUAACACUAGAUCUGAUGGAUUAUGUAUUAUGUCAUGUUGAUUAUGCACUAUAUCAUUAAUUAGUUUGUGUUUACAUGGGUGGCCACACCCCCUGAAGCAUAUGAUGUCAUCAUGUGAUACCAUAUAAAUACUGUUUUGUCACACUUGAUUACUAUGCUUGAUAAAGAUCCGGAUUGUGGAUCGAAACGUUGCAUCUUACUGAUGGGUGAAUAAAUCAUUUUC